AUGGGUUUCAUGAAUCACCAUAUCCAGAGAUUCAUCGACACAGCUUGUUGCCAGAUAAUCUUCAGUGAGCUGAUCGAGCACCUUGAGGCCAAAGUGAGUGCUGACAUCACGAGAUUUCAGUCUCUCAUCGAUUUGUUCAUACCAACCAUCGACAGCGAGCACGGCAUAUGUUACACCCAACCUGAGAAACUUCCAGGUAUCACACUGAGUGGCCUAAGGAAGCAUUUCUUCCAGUGCAAUUCCAGGGUGUUCAAAAGGGGCGCGUGGACGCGUCGCAAGAUACAGUCGGAGUGCGGCAUGCACGUGAUGUGGCACAAGACCGGCAAUACCAUGUUGGCGAUGGUCAACGGCCGGCAGAUGGGCAGCAAAAAAGGUUCUGGUGCUACGCACCAACAAGAACUUCGACCAGCAGAGGACCAAGUAGGUGAUGCACCAGUACCACCUCAGGGACCUGGAGCAAGAGAAUGA
RNAcentral lists this ribosomal RNA (468 nucleotides) under Triticum aestivum (bread wheat). Its description in RNAcentral is "partial small subunit ribosomal RNA". The record is from RNAcentral. Lineage: Eukaryota; Viridiplantae; Streptophyta; Magnoliopsida; Poales; Poaceae.